GCUAAAAAUUUAGCCCCACCCAUCCGCAUAUUCCUUCCGUAUUUAUCCCUAUAAACUAAAACAUUUUCUAUAUUUAGUAAAGGCGAUUAAAAAAUUUUUCUGGAGCAAUAACCAUAGUACCGCAAGGGAAAAAAAUGAAAUAAAAAUGAAACAUUUUCAAGCAUAAAAAAGU
RNAcentral lists this ribosomal RNA (172 nucleotides) under Epipedobates boulengeri. Its description in RNAcentral is "partial 16S ribosomal RNA". Lineage: Eukaryota; Metazoa; Chordata; Amphibia; Anura; Dendrobatidae. The record is from RNAcentral.